Molecule: ribosomal RNA, 443 nt
Filed under: uncultured bacterium
Lineage: Bacteria
Description: bacterial SSU rRNA
Rfam family: Bacterial small subunit ribosomal RNA
Source: RNAcentral
AGGGAAUAGAUACCCGGGUAGUCCACGCCCUAAACGAUGUCGACUAGGUGUUCGGUGAGGAGACUCAUUGAGUAACCGCAGCUAAACGCGUGAAGUCGACCGCCUGGGGAGUACGGUCGCAAGAUUAAAACUCAAAGGAAUUGACGGGGACCCGCACAAGCGGUGGAUGAUGUGGAUUAAUUCGAUGCAACGCGAAGAACCUUACCUACCCUUGACAUGUACGGAACCCUGCUGAGAGGUGGGGGUGCUCGAAAGAGAGCCGUAACACAGGUGCUGCAUGGCUGUCGUCAGCUCGUGUCGUGAGAUGUUGGGUUAAGUCCCGCAACGAGCGCAACCCUUGUCAUUAGUUGCUACGCAAGAGCACUCUAAUGAGACUGCCGGUGACAAACCGGUAGGAAGGUGGGGAUGACGUCAAGUCCUCAUGGCCCUUAUGGGUAGGGCUU